UUGGAGGCUGGAAAUCGGUCUCGCGGACGAGGGAGCAGUACCCGCACCGGACAAGACUGACUCGUA
Molecule: non-coding RNA, 66 nt
Filed under: Mycobacterium sp.
Lineage: Bacteria; Bacillati; Actinomycetota; Actinomycetes; Mycobacteriales; Mycobacteriaceae
Also listed under: 1 other name
Source: RNAcentral